Molecule: transfer RNA, 77 nt
Filed under: Fidelibacterota bacterium
Lineage: Bacteria; Pseudomonadati; Fidelibacterota
Description: Candidatus Marinimicrobia bacterium tRNA-Val
Rfam family: tRNA
About the family: Transfer RNA (tRNA) molecules are approximately 80 nucleotides in length. Their secondary structure includes four short double-helical elements and three loops (D, anti-codon, and T loops). Further hydrogen bonds mediate the characteristic L-shaped molecular structure. tRNAs have two regions of fundamental functional importance: the anti-codon, which is responsible for specific mRNA codon recognition, and the 3' end, to which the tRNAs corresponding amino acid is attached (by aminoacyl-tRNA synthetases). tRNAs cope with the degeneracy of the genetic code in two manners: having more than one tRNA (with a specific anti-codon) for a particular amino acid; and 'wobble' base-pairing, i.e. permitting non-standard base-pairing at the 3rd anti-codon position.
Source: RNAcentral
GGUCGGUUAGCUCAGUUGGUUAGAGUACCACGUUGACAUCGUGGGGGUCACUGGUUCGAAUCCAGUAUCGACCACAA